AAACCAACAGGGAUUGCCUUAGUAACGGCGAGUGAAGCGGCAAAAGCUCAAAUUUGAAAUCUAGUGCCUUUGGUACUCGAGUUGUAAUUUGAAGAAUUUUUCUCCGAACAGUCCUUUAUCUAUGUUCCUUGGAACAGGACGUCAUAGAGGGUGAGAAUCCCGUGUGAUUUUGGAUACUGUUCAUUGUGAGAUUUAUUCGAAGAGUCGAGUUGUUUGGGAAUGCAGCUCUAAGUGGGUGGUAAGUUCCAUCUAAAGCUAAAUAUUGGCAAGAGACCGAUAGCGAACAAGUACAGUGAUGGAAAGAUGAAAAGAACUCUGAAGAGAGGGUGAAAAAGUACGUGAAAUUGCUGAAAGGGAAGGGCUUUAGGUCAGACUUGGUGUUUAAUACUCAGUUCUCCUUGUGGGAGCUGCUCUUGUUUUUCACUGGGCCAAUAUCAGUUUUGGCGAUAGAGCACCUCUGGAAAUGUGGCUACCUUCGGGUAGUGUUAUAGUCUAGGGACGAUCUAUUGCUGGGACUGAGGUCUGCGCUUUUGCUAGGAUAUUGGCAUAAUGACCUUAAGCCGC
Molecule: ribosomal RNA, 564 nt
Filed under: Saccharomycopsis babjevae
Lineage: Eukaryota; Fungi; Ascomycota; Saccharomycetes; Ascoideales; Saccharomycopsidaceae
Also listed under: 1 other name
Description: eukaryotic LSU rRNA
Rfam family: Eukaryotic large subunit ribosomal RNA
Source: RNAcentral